RNAcentral lists this ribosomal RNA (306 nucleotides) under uncultured bacterium. Its description in RNAcentral is "partial 16S ribosomal RNA". It matches the Rfam family "Bacterial small subunit ribosomal RNA", at positions 505 to 807 of the family's 1533-position model. The record is from RNAcentral.
GACAGCAGUAGCCACGGGAAUACGGAGGGUGCAAGCGUUAUCCGGAUUUAUUGGGUUUAAAGGGUCCGUAGGCGGAUCUGUAAGUCAGUGGUGAAAUCUCACAGCUUAACUGUGAAACUGCCAUUGAUACUGCAGGUCUUGAGUAAAUUUGAAGUGGCUGGAAUAAGUAGUGUAGCGGUGAAAUGCAUAGAUAUUACUUAGAACACCAAUUGCGAAGGCAGGUCACUAAGAUUUAACUGACGCUGAUGGAAGAAAGCGUGGGGAGCGAACAGGAUUAGAUACCCCAGUAGUCCCUGUCUCUUAUAC